RNAcentral lists this transfer RNA (75 nucleotides) under Candidatus Roizmanbacteria bacterium RIFOXYA1_FULL_41_12. Its description in RNAcentral is "tRNA-Thr". It matches the Rfam family "tRNA". From Rfam's summary of the family: Transfer RNA (tRNA) molecules are approximately 80 nucleotides in length. Their secondary structure includes four short double-helical elements and three loops (D, anti-codon, and T loops). The record is from RNAcentral. Lineage: Bacteria; Candidatus Roizmaniibacteriota. RNAcentral also lists the same sequence under 6 other names.
GCCCAGGUGGCUCAGUGGUAGAGCAUCCCCUUGGUAAGGGGAAGGUCGAGGGUUCAAUUCCCUCCCUGGGCUCCA